GUUGGGGUGCUCACGGCCGGCCGUGACCAAUUUGGUGCCCUAGGCAAGAUUUUAGCUGGUGCCCCUUGCAUUGCAGCCAAUUCCAUCACCCGCCAUUGUGUUCAUACACUCACACAGUAGCUGCAUAGC
Molecule: long non-coding RNA, 129 nt
Organism: Etheostoma spectabile (orangethroat darter)
Lineage: Eukaryota; Metazoa; Chordata; Actinopteri; Perciformes; Percidae
Exons: 3
Source: RefSeq, a predicted model, not a curated record